GAUAAACGCUGGCGGCGUGCUUAACACAUGCAAGUCGAACGAAGUUUUUCCUUCGGGAGCAACUUAGUGGCGGACGGGUGAGUAACGCGUGGGUAACCUGCCCUGUACAGGGGGACAACAGCUGGAAACGGCUGCUAAUACCGCAUAAGCACUUAGCACUGCAUGGUGCAUAGGGAAAAGGAGCAAUCCGGUACAGGAUGGACCCGCGUCUGAUUAGCCAGUUGGCAGGGUAACGGCCUACCAAAGCGACGAUCAGUAGCCGAUCUGAGAGGAUGUACGGCCACAUUGGGACUGAGACACAGCCCAGACUCCUACGGGAGGCAGCAGUGGGGAAUAUUGCACAAUGGAGGAAACUCUGAUGCAGCGACGCCGCGUGAGUGAAGAAGUAUUUCGGUAUGUAAAGCUCUAUCAGCAGGGAAGAAAAUGACGGUACCUGACGAAGAAGCACCGGCUAAAUACGUG
This 462-nucleotide ribosomal RNA is filed under the name uncultured bacterium. RNAcentral's name for it is "partial 16S ribosomal RNA". It matches the Rfam family "Bacterial small subunit ribosomal RNA", at positions 28 to 507 of the family's 1533-position model. The record is from RNAcentral.